RNAcentral lists this ribosomal RNA (253 nucleotides) under uncultured bacterium. RNAcentral describes it as "partial 16S ribosomal RNA". It matches the Rfam family "Bacterial small subunit ribosomal RNA", at positions 524 to 776 of the family's 1533-position model. The record is from RNAcentral.
UACGUAGGGGGCAAGCGUUGUCCGGAAUCAUUGGGCGUAAAGAGCGUGUAGGCGGUCCGGUCAGUCGGUUGUGAAAGUCAAGGGCUCAACCCUUGAAUGCCGGCCGAUACUGCCGGGCUAGAGUCCGGAAGAGGUGAGUGGAAUUCCUGGUGUAGCGGUGAAAUGCGCAGAUAUCAGGAGGAACACCAAUGGCGAAGGCAGCACUCUGGGACGUGACUGACGCUGAGACGCGAAAGCGUGGGGAGCAAACAGG